AUACGAAGGUCCCAAGCGUUGUUCGGAUUUACUGGGCGUAAAGCGAGCGUAGGCGGCAAGGUAAGUCAGAUGUGAAAUCCCGGGGCUCAACCCCGGAACUGCAUCCGAUACUGCCUUGCUAGAGUAAUGGAGGGGCAUCUGGAAUUCAUGGUGUAGCAGUGAAAUGCGUAGAUAUCAUGAGGAGCACUAGUGGCGAAGGCGAGAUGCUGGACAUUUACUGACGCUGAGGUACGAAGGCCAGGGUAGCGAAAAGGAUUAGAAACCCCAGUAGUCC
RNAcentral lists this ribosomal RNA (274 nucleotides) under uncultured bacterium. RNAcentral describes it as "partial 16S ribosomal RNA". It matches the Rfam family "Bacterial small subunit ribosomal RNA", at positions 523 to 796 of the family's 1533-position model. The record is from RNAcentral.